GACGAACGCUGGCGGCGUGCUUAACACAUGCAAGUCGAACGGAAAGGCCCUGCUUUUGUGGGUUGCUCGAGUAGCGAACGGGUGAGUCACACGUAAGUAACCUGCCCUUGCCUUUGGGCUAACUUCAGGAAACUCGGGCUCCUACCGGAUAGGAGCUCCUGCUGCAUGGUGGGGGUUGGAAAGUUUCGGCGGUUGGGGAUGGACUCGCGGCUUAUCAGCUUGUUGGUGGGGGGGUGGCUUACAAAGGCUUUGAGGGGUCGCCGGCCUGAGAGGGUGACCGGCAAAAUGGGGACUGAGAUACGGCCCAAACGCCGAGGGGGGGAAGAGUGGGGGAAAAUUGAAAAAUGGGCGGAAGCCGGAUGCAGCAACGCGGCGUGGGGGAUAACGGCCUUCGGGUGGUAAACCGUUUUCGCAUGUGACGAAGCGGGAGUGACGGUAACGGGUAAAGAAGCACCGGCUAACUACGUG
This 468-nucleotide ribosomal RNA is filed under the name uncultured bacterium. RNAcentral describes it as "partial 16S ribosomal RNA". It matches the Rfam family "Bacterial small subunit ribosomal RNA", at positions 28 to 507 of the family's 1533-position model. The record is from RNAcentral.